Molecule: unclassified non-coding RNA, 358 nt
Filed under: soil metagenome
Description: partial contains 5.8S ribosomal RNA, internal transcribed spacer 2, and large subunit ribosomal RNA
Rfam family: 5.8S ribosomal RNA (bases 1-120)
Source: RNAcentral
GAUGAAGAACGUAGUGAAAUGCGAUAAGUAAUGUGAAUUGCAGAAUUCAGUGAAUCAUCGAAUCUUUGAACGCACAUUGCGCCCGUCAGUAUUCUGGCGGGCAUGCCUGUUCGAGCGUCAUUACGCCCCUCAAGUCCCCUGUGGACUUGGUGUUGGGGAUCGGCGAGGCUGGUUUUCCAGCACAGCCGUCCCUUAAAUUAAUUGGCGGUCUCGCCGUGGCCCUCCUCUGCGCAGUAGUAAAACACUCGCAACAGGAGCCCGGCGCGGUCCACUGCCGUAAAACCCCCCAACUUUUUAUAGUUGACCUCGAAUCAGGUAGGACUACCCGCUGAACUUAAGCAUAUCAGUAAGCGGAGGA